RNAcentral lists this non-coding RNA (295 nucleotides) under Cupriavidus taiwanensis. The record is from RNAcentral. Lineage: Bacteria; Pseudomonadati; Pseudomonadota; Betaproteobacteria; Burkholderiales; Burkholderiaceae.
AGACUCGCGCACGUUCCAGGUGCUCGCCCUUUUCGUCCCUGGCGAAAGGGCAGUUCAACGGGAAACAGGGAGCCGGGCCGGCUGCGCGCCGGACAGGCCAACCUGUGCUGCCCCCGCAACGGUAAGCGACCGCGGUGCGCAUCCGCCAGCCACGCUGCUGGCAAGACCUGAUUCGUUAUCGGAUGCAGGCCACAUGCUCCGCAGGACCGGCCACACGCCACUGAACCGCAGGUUCGGGAAGGCGCCGGUCCCGGUGUCGCCAGCCCGGAUACCGGCCUGAACGCGGGCUGCCGCC